CGCGAAGCUACCGUGCGC
RNAcentral lists this small nuclear RNA (18 nucleotides) under Arabidopsis thaliana (thale cress). RNAcentral's name for it is "snRNA_04131". Lineage: Eukaryota; Viridiplantae; Streptophyta; Magnoliopsida; Brassicales; Brassicaceae. The record is from RNAcentral.